GGAGAAUUACCCAAGUGGUUGAAGGGACUGGUUUCGAAAACCAGCAGGCGUGCAAGCGCGCGGGGGUUCAAAUCCCUCAUUCUCCGCCA
RNAcentral lists this transfer RNA (89 nucleotides) under Solobacterium sp. RNAcentral's name for it is "tRNA-Ser". It matches the Rfam family "tRNA". Rfam says of the family: Transfer RNA (tRNA) molecules are approximately 80 nucleotides in length. The record is from RNAcentral. Lineage: Bacteria; Bacillati; Bacillota; Erysipelotrichia; Erysipelotrichales; Erysipelotrichaceae.